UAUAAAAUAUUUUGAAUAUUUAUAUAACAUUAACAUAAUUCAUAUUACUAUAUUUUUUAGUAUAUGAAAUUUUACUUUGAGAAAAUUAGAGUGCUUAAAGCAGGCAUAAGCCUUGAAUACUCCAGCAUGGAAUAAUAUUAAAGAUUUUUAUCUUUUUUAUUGGUUUUAAGAUAAGAAUAAUGAUUAAUAGGGACAGUUGGGGGCAUUUGUAUUUAACAGUCAGAGGUGAAAUUCUUAGAUUUGUUAAAGACAAACUAAUGCGAAAGCAUUUGCCAAGGAUGUUUUCAUUAAUCAAGAACGAAA
RNAcentral lists this ribosomal RNA (303 nucleotides) under Cryptosporidium parvum. RNAcentral's name for it is "SSU rRNA". It matches the Rfam family "Eukaryotic small subunit ribosomal RNA", at positions 681 to 988 of the family's 1831-position model. Lineage: Eukaryota; Apicomplexa; Conoidasida; Eucoccidiorida; Cryptosporidiidae. The record is from RNAcentral.